UACGUAGGGUGCGAGCGUUAAUCGGAAUUACUGGGCGUAAAGCGUGCGCAGGCGGUUUUGUAAGCCAGAUGUGAAAUCCCCGGGCUCAACCUGGGAAUGGCAUUUGGGACUGCAAGGCUGGAGUUUGGCAGAGGAGACUGGAAUUCCUGGUGUAGCAGUGAAAUGCGUAGAUAUCAGGAGGAAUACCGAUGGCGAAGGCAGGUCUCUGGGCUAUAACUGACGCUCAUGCACGAAAGCGUGGGGAGCAAACAGG
This 253-nucleotide ribosomal RNA is filed under the name uncultured bacterium. Its description in RNAcentral is "partial 16S ribosomal RNA". It matches the Rfam family "Bacterial small subunit ribosomal RNA", at positions 524 to 776 of the family's 1533-position model. The record is from RNAcentral. RNAcentral also lists the same sequence under 1 other name.